RNAcentral lists this ribosomal RNA (308 nucleotides) under uncultured Sulfurimonas sp. Its description in RNAcentral is "bacterial SSU rRNA". It matches the Rfam family "Bacterial small subunit ribosomal RNA", at positions 29 to 334 of the family's 1533-position model. The record is from RNAcentral. Lineage: Bacteria; Pseudomonadati; Campylobacterota; Epsilonproteobacteria; Campylobacterales; Sulfurimonadaceae.
AGUGAACGCUGGCGGCGUGCUUAACACAUGCAAGUCGAACGGUAACAGCAGAGCUUGCUCUGGCUGACGAGUGGCGCACGGGUGAGUAAUAUAUAGUUAAUGUGCCUCGAAGACUGGGAUAGCCACUGGAAACGGUGAUUAAUACUAGAUAGUCCUUCUUUACAUAAGUAGAGUUGGUAAACGUUUUUUCGCUUCGAGAUCAGACUAUAUCGCAUCAGUUAGUUGGUGGGGUAAGAGCCUACCAAGACAAUGACGCGUAGCGGGUUUGAGAGGAUGAUCCGCCACACUGGUACUGAGACACGGACCAG